This is a long non-coding RNA of Cyprinus carpio (common carp), 1478 nucleotides long. NCBI's taxonomy places the organism in Eukaryota, Metazoa, Chordata, Actinopteri, Cypriniformes, Cyprinidae. The record is from Ensembl.
CUCAACAAUUCAUCCUUCUGAUUUAUUUAAACAGAAAUCAAGUUUAAGUUGGCCACACUGAUUCACUGCACUGAUCAACAGAAAGCUGCUUGAUUGGAAAGUGACUUCUGUGUGAGAAGUGCUUCAUACAACACUACACUAUUAAAAAUAGAAAAUUGAGGGAUUAUUUUUUUUUUUGCACUUUUUUUUGCACAUUUUUUGUGAUCGCAUCUUUAGUCUUUUAAAUGAAUAGUUCACCCUUAAAAUGAAAAUUCUAUUAUCAUGUAUUGACCUGUAUGGCAUUCUUUCUUGUGCAUAACAUAGAAGAAGAUAUAGAAAAAUGCUUUUUUUCAUACAAUGAAAGUGAUUUAUGUUCUGCAGAAGAAAGUACAACAGGUUUGGAAUGACAUGAAGGUGUAAACGAUGGCAGGAUUUUCUUUUUCUUUUUUUUUGCUGAACCAUUCCUUCAACAGUGUCAUCUUAUGGUAGAAGAAAAAGGGACAUGACAAAACAUCUGUCAUGGAAAUCAAACACCUUGCCCACCUUUCUAGUCUGAGGUGUAAGCACAGGAGGACUGGAGGUUUGACAGCAGCAGGAAGCUGUCUGAGAGGGCUUUGCCUCUAGAGCUGUACACUUUGGAGGCGUGACUUUCAGAGAGGAACACAAUGGAGCUGUGGUGAAAAACUUGAAAGAAUCCAGAGCAUGUAAGAGGAGACGAGUACACAUUCCACCCUGCAGCCCUCCACCAUAAGAGUGUGUAUCUGGAAGUGAACUGAGCAGUCUUGGCAGGAUGCUGAGAUAGAUGGACAUCAGUAAUUAUGGAAACCCAUCUCACAGAAGUCUACAGUGAAGAAAAGAGAUGAUGAUGAAUGGACAAGUUACACCAAGUCAAGGCAUUUCCUUUUGGGUCAUUCACAACAGCAGGACUGAAGCACAUAGUGCAUGAAGUGGACCAGUGCUAUUGCAGGUAUGGUAAGAUGACCAAACCGACCAAACGGAGACCAGACCGCGACCCUGAAUGCUGGAUGGAGCUGCUUUUAUGUUGACAUUUCUGCAGGACCAGGUGUGGGAAAAUGAGCAGCCUUGCAGGUGCCUGUAUUUUCAAAACUGUUGUUUGAGAGGAAAUCCGUAAAGAACUGGAGACAGCAGGAAAGUAAUUAAACAUGAUUUCACAGCUUAUUUGUGUUUACAAAGAACUCCUUUUGCUUGUCAUGCUGUUGAAGAGAAUGAAAGGCUAGUUGUGUUGCCUACUGGCUCUUUAGUGACAAUAAGCAGGCAGUAACGAGGGGAUUUUUAAAAAAAAAUGAGCGUUUCCUAAUUUGGUCACUGAAUGAUCGCAAAUGGUGGGCUUGAAAACAGAAGGAGUGUGAUCACACUUACCAGCAAUCAUGAGUUCAAAAGCAACCAAACUCUCUGUUGUUUUAAAGAAAGGACCUUUUCUCAGAUGUUGUGAAAUCCCCAUGAUUGGAAAACCAAAAACACUGUGACCAGGUUUGUGC